This 92-nucleotide microRNA precursor is filed under the name Marmota monax (woodchuck). The record is from RNAcentral. Lineage: Eukaryota; Metazoa; Chordata; Mammalia; Rodentia; Sciuridae.
AUAUAGAUCUCCUGGGGAUUUUGUUAAAACAUGGAUUUUGAGAGCAGGAUCUGAGGUUGUACAUUUCUGACAGGUUCCCAUGAUGUUGUGAG